This 182-nucleotide ribosomal RNA is filed under the name uncultured bacterium. RNAcentral's name for it is "partial 16S ribosomal RNA". It matches the Rfam family "Bacterial small subunit ribosomal RNA", at positions 338 to 524 of the family's 1533-position model. The record is from RNAcentral.
CCUACGGGAGGCAGCAGUGGGGAAUCUUGCGCAAUGGGCGAAAGCCUGACGCAGCGACGCCGCGUGGGGGAUGAAGCUUCUCGGAGUGUAAACCCCUUUCGACCGGGACGAAACGCCCGCAAGGGCUUGACGGUACCGGUAUAAGAAGCCCCGGCUAACUACGUGCCAGCAGCCGCGGUAAU